CCUUCCCCAUCUCGGACGAAGAGAGGGGCAGACGGGGGGGGCCGAGAGCGCAGAGCAGCGACGACGCAAGCAGCCUAGUUAGCAGCGACAGGCUGUUCUACACUCAACAGGGGACCUUAGAAAAAGCAAAGAUGACCUGUACUUACGUUACAUGUCCUCUGUGUGGACACUGACCAUUGAGUAUGGAAGUAAACCGCCCAGACCAUCGCCACAAACCCUGCACAAAGCUGACUGCGCUUCCACUAAAUGAUAUCAUAGCUGGCUAGAGAUGUCGUCAGCUGGUGUCGCAGCCCAGGUCCAGGGGAUGUAGGCUUGCCGAUGUGCCAAUCGGACAGGAACAGACCACGCGGCACUGCAGCUCAGCUGGCCCCACUAAGGAAAACCCAACACGAACCACGAUGUCUUGGUCCCGCAAAG
Brienomyrus brachyistius is the source of this 417-nucleotide long non-coding RNA. RefSeq lists it as uncharacterized. The transcript is spliced from 3 exons. NCBI's taxonomy places the organism in Eukaryota, Metazoa, Chordata, Actinopteri, Osteoglossiformes, Mormyridae. The record is from RefSeq and is a predicted model, not a curated record.